CAUUUCACUCCCCUACCACAAAACUACGAAUCUUUUUUCGGCAGUUCUACUUUUUUGACGCGGUAAAAAUUCUGGCGGGAAAUAUUCAUUCGCCUCUACACACGUGGUUAUCCUGAUUAGCUUUUAGAUGUUCUGAUGUCUCGCUUGAUUGGAAAUAUGGAAGAAUUGAUGACGUGAUGCAGAUUUUAUUAGAGAAGUAUGCAUUGUUGGUGAGAAUCGAACCCUCAACAAAGGGAACAUUGGCCACCCAAGAAGAGAGGAGCAGUGAUCCUUAGACCUGGGCUGGUGUCACAUGAAGAAAUGAAGCAGAAUUGGUGAUGACGUGAUGCAGGUUGUAUUACAGAAGAAUGCAUUGUUCAUGAGAAUCGAACCCUUCAACUUGUCUUCAAUUGACUGGCAAGACCUGAACUUGAUUGAUAAAGAAGACAUAUGUGAUUGACAAAUUCCCUACAGAGUCAUAGAAUUGAUGACGUGAUGCAGAUUUUAUUAGAGAAGUAUGCAUUGUUGGUGAGAAUCGAACCCUCAACAAAGGGAACAUUGGCCACCCAAGAAGAGAGGAGUAGUGAUCCUUAGACCUGGGCUGGUGUCACGUGAAGAAAUGAAGCAGAAUUGGUGAUGACGUGAUGAAGAUUUUAUUACAGAAGAAUGCAUUGUUCAUGAGAAUCGAAACCUUCAACUUGUCUUCAAUUGACUGGCAAGACCUGAACUUGAUUCAUAAAGAAGACUAGGAGCUUGGACAGAUUGCAUGAAAGGGAUGAAAAAAUAAACUUACGUCCUCAUAAAACUGUGUCGUCCUUUCUACAGGCCAUCAUUAGAUGAGUUUGUCCCCAUAAAACUGUGUCGUCCUUUCUACAGGCCAUCAUUAGAUGAGUUUGUCCCCAUAAAACUGUGUCGUCCUUUCUACAAGCAAACAUUAGAGGAGUUAAAACAAACUCAGAUCUGGAGAUUUUAGUUAAUUCUAAACUUAACCCAAUCACAGAAUGAUGUAAUGCUGUUUCAUUGUUUUUCUCACCGAUUCUUAUCAUCUCCAACUUCUAUCCUCAGACUUAUUAUUCUUGUGUUACCCACUUCACAGGCAUCAUUAGGUGAGUGUUGUCAUCUAAAUUUUAAGUUUAUCUGGACUUUACCUAAACUUCUUGUCAAAAUGUAAAAUUUCCCAAACCACACCUUUUGCAAAGGACAACCCAAAAGAGUCUGAAAUCUUUAGAUACUCUGCUUCGCAAUGUGAAAAUCCUUUCUUCUUGGUUCUGGUCCUCGUUCUCAUUGCCCCUUUAAUUUCUUCACAUGAACCCACGCAGAUCU
Molecule: long non-coding RNA, 1302 nt
Organism: Octopus sinensis (East Asian common octopus)
Lineage: Eukaryota; Metazoa; Mollusca; Cephalopoda; Octopoda; Octopodidae
Exons: 5
Source: RefSeq, a predicted model, not a curated record